This 458-nucleotide ribosomal RNA is filed under the name uncultured Oceanospirillales bacterium. RNAcentral's name for it is "bacterial SSU rRNA". It matches the Rfam family "Bacterial small subunit ribosomal RNA", at positions 923 to 1382 of the family's 1533-position model. The record is from RNAcentral. Lineage: Bacteria; Pseudomonadati; Pseudomonadota; Gammaproteobacteria; Oceanospirillales.
GCACAAGCGGUGGAGCAUGCGGUUUAAUUCGAAGCAACGCGAAGAACCUUACCUGGCCUUGACAUGCUGAGAACUUUCUAGAGAUAGAUUGGUGCCUUCGGGAACUCAGACACAGGUGCUGCAUUGGCUGUCGUCAGCUCGUGUCGUGAGAUGUUGGGUUAAGUCCCGUAACGAGCGCAACCCUUGUCCUUAGUUGCUACAUUCAGUUGGGCACUCUAAUGAGACUGCCGGUGACAAGCCGGAGGAAGGUGGGGAUGACGUCAAGUCCUCAUGGCCCUUAUAGGUGGGGCUACACACGUCAUACAAUGGCUGGUACAAAGGGUUGCCAACCCGCGAGGGGGAGCUAAUCCCAUAAAGCCAGUCGUAGUCCGGAUCGUAGUCUGCAACUCGACUACGUGAAGUCGGAAUCGCUAGUAAUCGUGGAUCAGAAUGUCACGGUGAAUACGUUCCCGGGUCUU